CAGCCGUAAACAAUGCGCGUUAGGUGUGUCGGUAACCACGCGUUACUGAUGCGCCGAAGAGAAAUCGUGAAACGCACCACCUGGGAAGUACGGUCGCAAGGCUGAAACUUAAAGGAAUUGGCGGGGGAGCACCACAACAGGUGGAGCCUGCGGUUUAAUUGGAUUCAACGCCGGACAUCUCACCGGAUAAGACAGCUGAAUGAUUGUCAAUCUGAAGGUUUUACAUGACUAGCUGAGAGGAGGUGCAUGGCGUCAGUGACU
This 261-nucleotide ribosomal RNA is filed under the name uncultured archaeon. RNAcentral's name for it is "partial 16S ribosomal RNA". It matches the Rfam family "Archaeal small subunit ribosomal RNA", at positions 748 to 1008 of the family's 1478-position model. The record is from RNAcentral.